AGGGUUCACCGACAACCGGAUCCUCGGUCUCCCCUCCCCCACGGGAGGCUGGGCGUCUUAGACUCCCAACUCUGUUCUCUGGGAGCGUCCAGCUGCAGGAACCUACAGAAUCAUCCUGUCUGACCCCCUCGUUUUAUGGGAGUAGUUGAGACCACGGACUCUGGGGACCUGCCCGUCCUGGUUGCAAGCCCCGCUCCACCAUUUCCUGCUGCAGACUUUAUAAACCAGAGCAGCUGCCUGAAGGUUUCCAAGAAAAAAAUUCUGCACAGUUUCUAACCAGGGUGACAGUUCACCUCCACAGGAAGUUACUUUUAUUAAUUUUUUAAUCUCUUCUUUUGUAAGACUAUCUACUGGUCAUCAGGCAGCACCUGUGGGCAUUUUCUUAUUUUUUUCCCCCAACUGCUCCCAUUUGCCUGGAAUUCAUUAUUAAAUCUAACUCAUAGUGGCCUUGCCCAACACAGGGGCAAAGUUCGAACUACUGAAAAAUGGGUCACUCAAAUCGCCUGUGCAGAAGAAUCCCAAAUAAUUUAUGGAGAUACUCCUCCCUCAAGGCGGUGAAACAUAAAUCCCUGUCCCUGAAGUGUGGGCUGUGCAUAAUGAUUUCCUUCUAUGGAGUAUAGUAUGGAAAGCAGGGGGAAAGAGUAAUCUUGCAGGAGAGAAACCUGACAAGCACUAGCUCAGCCAGAUGGCCAAGGUCAACAUCAGCAGCGAUCAGUCGUGUCUAUAGCAUGGACACUUGAUAUGAUGUGAUGGAAACAGCACAUCACCCCCAAACCCAUAACCACAGUUGAACCAUGAGAAAAACAGCAGACAGACCCCACCUGAGGGACAGUCUACAAAGUACCCGACCAACAGUCCAUCAAAAACAAGGAAAGUCUGAGAAACUACCACAGCCAAGAGCAGCCUAGGGAAAUAAGAUGGCUGCAUACAAUGUGAGAGACCCUGUGGAACAGAGAAAGGAUGGUGGUUAAAAACUAAUAAAAUCCAAAUAAACUACAGAGUUUAGUUAACAAUAACAUACCAGUGUUGUGGAAAAUGUACCGCAGCAAUGUCAGGUGUUAACAAUAGGAGAAACUGGGUUGGGGUAUAUGGCAAUUCUGUACUAUCUGCAAAACUUUUCUGUAAGUCUAAAACUAUUCUAAAAGUUUACAUUUUAAACA
This 1160-nucleotide long non-coding RNA is filed under the name Pan troglodytes (chimpanzee). Its description in RNAcentral is "lincRNA". Lineage: Eukaryota; Metazoa; Chordata; Mammalia; Primates; Hominidae. The record is from RNAcentral.